Molecule: transfer RNA, 74 nt
Filed under: Paracoccaceae bacterium
Lineage: Bacteria; Pseudomonadati; Pseudomonadota; Alphaproteobacteria; Rhodobacterales; Paracoccaceae
Also listed under: 2 other names
Description: tRNA-Gly
Rfam family: tRNA
About the family: Transfer RNA (tRNA) molecules are approximately 80 nucleotides in length.
Source: RNAcentral
GCGGGCGUGAUGUAAUGGUAGCCUGUCAGCCUUCCAAGCUGAACGCGCGGGUUCGAUUCCCGCCGCCCGCUCCA